This 899-nucleotide long non-coding RNA is filed under the name Diabrotica virgifera virgifera (western corn rootworm). RNAcentral's name for it is "uncharacterized LOC114328006". The record is from RNAcentral. Lineage: Eukaryota; Metazoa; Arthropoda; Insecta; Coleoptera; Chrysomelidae.
AGAAUCUACAGGUCGAGCAAGUCUCGUAAAUUUCACGAUUGCGAGCCACGCUUCACGCAACCGUGUUUGCGUACUUGUGUUUCGAGUUGCGUGGUCGUGCGGAGUUAUAUUUACCAAAUUUAAAUGUUUCUACUUCUUCUCUUCAUUUGAAUGGCCUUAGCUGCCAGGGCUAUCCGGCCAGAAAAUGUUUCUACUGAUUCAUACGCUGUCAAAAUUAAAUCAAUAUGGCUACUGGGUGUAAAAGAUAAAUCUUAUUCUAUCUGUUCUUAAUGAGUUUUAGAUAAUUUUAGUUGUAUUUCUUUGUAAUUUUGUGUUGUACAAAGAUUAAUUUAACAUUUUCUCUGGAAGUAUUAAUUUAGAAAGAUAAUAUGCUUCAUUGGUGUUGUGUUUUGAAGUGUGAAAUGCAAAGUAAUUGUGAUAAAGUCAAGAUAAAGUUCACUUUUAAACUGAACUAAAUAAGGUAUCUGAGAGACAACAAUGGUUAAAUGCAAUACAAUGUACAGGUUUUACUAGCGAAAUGAAAAUUUUCCUGUCCUGUCUGCUGUAAUCAUUUUAUAUCUGGAAAACCAGCCGACUUAAUCGAUAAUAACAAUCUCCAGAUUGGGUUCCUUCAAUAAAUAUGGGCUAUUAACACAAUGAAAUAAGUUCCAGAAAAUCUAAAAUGGAGUGGUAUCAAAGGAGAAUUAAAGGAAAAAAUAUUCAUAUUGAAAUUAUUUAUAAGGCACUGGACUGUCUUAAAUUCUACAAUAAUACUAGAAUCAGCUGAGAGAAGUGGUCUACAAAAAACCAGGAAGGAAACGGAAUAUGUGGCUACGAAAGGCAAAAGAAAGGUUUACAAAGCAAAUGUGACACAUUUUUUUGAAAUAUUUAGGAAUAUCAGUAAAUUGCAUUAAAAAAAU